CCGAGAGGGGGCGGUGGCGGCGGCUCUGGUGGAUCAGGGGAUGGAGGCUUUGCUGGGAAGUCCAAUGAGACUCUCCCAAGUUUUUUUUAGCUACCAUUGGAUUUCUAUUUCUGUAUGUCUACGUCCUCACUGGCGAGGAACUUACAAAGCUAGCUAAGGACUACAUUAACUAUCUGUAUAGUGGAAGACGAAGUGUGAGAUUAAAGCGAGCCAUGUUCAAAUGGGACCGACUCUGCCGGAGCAUGACGGAGAAGGUGGUGGACAGGCAGUGGUUGGAGAAGGCUAUGCUCAAAAGGAAUUACUUGCAAUCAAAAUCAAAUCUAAAUUCAUUUUCAGGUCUCUGUCAUCAUCCUGUCUGGUUCUUUCCCUACAUUUGUCUUCCCCCCCCCCCCCCCCCCAAUUAGAUUGAUGAAGAUAGGAAUAGAGAGGUAGGCUAAAUCAAUAUGAAUAUAGAGGUUUCAUUUUUUAGGUUAUUUGAGGUAUAUCCAAUUAUUAAUGGUUUGGUUGCCGUUGUGAACGUGAGAAUGUCUUGUACAAGAGGCUGAUUUUUUUUUUUCUGUUACGAAAAUAUUUAUUUGCAGAUUUUUGCACAAUUUCGGUCAUAAUGUGUGCUUAGUUGAAUGAUUUUGAGCGGCUCAUGAGAGGCACAAGCUAUACAUUUUCUGUAGACAAACAUAAAAGAAUUGCUUAAUUGGGAGUUUGGGCAAAUUUGAAUCAAAGAA
This is a long non-coding RNA of Prosopis cineraria, 722 nucleotides long. RefSeq lists it as uncharacterized. The transcript is spliced from 2 exons. NCBI's taxonomy places the organism in Eukaryota, Viridiplantae, Streptophyta, Magnoliopsida, Fabales, Fabaceae. The record is from RefSeq and is a predicted model, not a curated record.